UUCUAAAAGCUUUGUUUUCCUUCUUGUCACUUCUGUUCACUUCUUCCCGCGCCGCUGCUUCUUCGUGUGCCCUCGGACCUCUUCUUCUUGAGCAACCCCCAAGGGCCCAUGACAAGCACCCAAUGACAAAGUAGGACUUUGGCAGUUUGGGGCAGGGUUGCCAGCCUCUGCUCCCCCGCCUCCUCUCCUCAGGCCCUCCUCCCUCCCUUUAAUCUACCCUUCCCUGGCCUGUCACCCUCCCUUCCAUCUUCCCAUCCUCCCAUCUUUCCAUUUUGCUCAGUCAUCCCCAGUCAAUUAGCUUCCGAGCGUCCUACUAUUUUGUUUCCUCACUUUUGUCUUUCUAUGCUGCCUUAAAUUAUGCUGCUUUGUUGGACGAUGGUAGCAGCAGCGAGGAGGGAGGUCAAGGCUGUGGGAAUGAGGCGUCUACAAAAAUAAAAUUAAAAAAAUA
This is a long non-coding RNA of Xiphophorus hellerii (green swordtail), 448 nucleotides long. RefSeq lists it as uncharacterized. The transcript has 2 exons. Lineage: Eukaryota; Metazoa; Chordata; Actinopteri; Cyprinodontiformes; Poeciliidae. The record is from RefSeq and is a predicted model, not a curated record.